Molecule: long non-coding RNA, 831 nt
Filed under: Lathyrus oleraceus (garden pea)
Lineage: Eukaryota; Viridiplantae; Streptophyta; Magnoliopsida; Fabales; Fabaceae
Description: Pisum sativum (pea) long non-coding RNA (PSAT_LNC020381)
Source: RNAcentral
AAACCCUAACCUUAUGGUCUCAUUUCAUGGCCUUGUUCAUGUACAUUAUCAGUCAAGUCAUUCAAGUCAUAAGACAAAACAAUUUGGAAACCAACUUCAAACCAUUUGUUAAUCCAUUUCAAUCUAUUUCAUGUCAUUGUAAACCAUUACAUGUGAUUCAACACAAGAAAAUACAAAAUUUGACAUUUUUUGACCAAUUGUUAACUUUGGUCAACAAUUGACUUUUUUGUCAACUUUGACCAAAGUCAACCCAAACUCCAAAAACACUAAAUUUCAUCCUAAUCAUCAAUCCGUUGUCCAUUUACAAAGAAAAUGCCAAGAAAAUGGGUUUUGGACCAAUUUUUAACUUUGGUCAACCGUUGACUUUUUGGUCAACUUUGACCAAAGUCAACCCUAAAAUUCUAAAACCCUAUUUCCCAAACUUGGACCUAAUCUCACGCUAUCUUGUCUUGAUUUACCACCAAAGUCCAUGUGUGCUCCCUUGCUUACUUCAAAUGCAAGUUUCCAUUCAUGUCCAUGAGUGAACCUACAAAACCAAAGCCAAGUCAUGUGCCAAAACUGCAGCAAGACCAUGAAUGUCUGCAACUGUCUCAAGCCAUAGGCCAUACCUACUGAACCUCAUGCCAUAAACCAAAUAAACUCUGCAGCAGGCAGUACAUCAAGGCACACAACUUGCAACAAACCAACAUUACCACAUGAGCAUAAAACCAACUGCAGCAGCACCACAUGAGUGUGCUCAUUCCUUGCUCACAAUACACCACAUUACAAAGCCAAAUCUCCAUGAUUUAACCAACAAAAGGCCAUAACAAACCUACAAUUGGCCCUGCAGUA